Molecule: ribosomal RNA, 924 nt
Filed under: Escherichia coli
Lineage: Bacteria; Pseudomonadati; Pseudomonadota; Gammaproteobacteria; Enterobacterales; Enterobacteriaceae
Description: partial 23S ribosomal RNA
Rfam family: Bacterial large subunit ribosomal RNA
Source: RNAcentral
GGGUUGUGAGGUUAAGCGACUAAGCGUACACGGUGGAUGCCCUGGCAGUCAGAGGCGAUGAAGGACGUGCUAAUCUGCGAUAAGCGUCGGUAAGGUGAUAUGAACCGUUAUAACCGGCGAUUUCCGAAUGGGGAAACCCAGUGUGAUUCGUCACACUAUCAUUAACUGAAUCCAUAGGUUAAUGAGGCGAACCGGGGGAACUGAAACAUCUAAGUACCCCGAGGAAAAGAAAUCAACCGAGAUUCCCCCAGUAGCGGCGAGCGAACGGGGAGCAGCCCAGAGCCUGAAUCAGUGUGUGUGUUAGUGGAAGCGUCUGGAAAGGCGCGCGAUACAGGGUGACAGCCCCGUACACAAAAAUGCACAUGCUGUGAGCUCGAUGAGUAGGGCGGGACACGUGGUAUCCUGUCUGAAUAUGGGGGGACCAUCCUCCAAGGCUAAAUACUCCUGACUGACCGAUAGUGAACCAGUACCGUGAGGGAAAGGCGAAAAGAACCCCGGCGAGGGGAGUGAAAAAGAACCUGAAACCGUGUACGUACAAGCAGUGGGAGCACGCUUAGGCGUGUGACUGCGUACCUUUUGUAUAAUGGGUCAGCGACUUAUAUUCUGUAGCAAGGUUAACCGAAUAGGGGAGCCGAAGGGAAACCGAGUCUUAACUGGGCGUUAAGUUGCAGGGUAUAGACCCGAAACCCGGUGAUCUAGCCAUGGGCAGGUUGAAGGUUGGGUAACACUAACUGGAGGACCGAACCGACUAAUGUUGAAAAAUUAGCGGAUGACUUGUGGCUGGGGGUGAAAGGCCAAUCAAACCGGGAGAUAGCUGGUUCUCCCCGAAAGCUAUUUAGGUAGCGCCUCGUGAAUUCAUCUCCGGGGGUAGAGCACUGUUUCGGCAAGGGGGUCAUCCCGACUUACCAACCCGAUGCAAACUGC